This 72-nucleotide transfer RNA is filed under the name Candidatus Vidania fulgoroideorum. RNAcentral's name for it is "tRNA-Ile". It matches the Rfam family "tRNA". Rfam says of the family: Transfer RNA (tRNA) molecules are approximately 80 nucleotides in length. Their secondary structure includes four short double-helical elements and three loops (D, anti-codon, and T loops). Further hydrogen bonds mediate the characteristic L-shaped molecular structure. tRNAs have two regions of fundamental functional importance: the anti-codon, which is responsible for specific mRNA codon recognition, and the 3' end, to which the tRNAs corresponding amino acid is attached (by aminoacyl-tRNA synthetases). tRNAs cope with the degeneracy of the genetic code in two manners: having more than one tRNA (with a specific anti-codon) for a particular amino acid; and 'wobble' base-pairing, i.e. permitting non-standard base-pairing at the 3rd anti-codon position. The record is from RNAcentral. Lineage: Bacteria; Pseudomonadati; Pseudomonadota; Betaproteobacteria.
AGGUGUUUAACUCAGUGGCAGAGUUUCGUUUUUACAUGACGAGUGUCGAAAGUUCAAUUCUUUCAACGCCUA